RNAcentral lists this ribosomal RNA (606 nucleotides) under Prevotella melaninogenica. RNAcentral describes it as "bacterial SSU rRNA". It matches the Rfam family "Bacterial small subunit ribosomal RNA", at positions 1 to 599 of the family's 1533-position model. The record is from RNAcentral. Lineage: Bacteria; Pseudomonadati; Bacteroidota; Bacteroidia; Bacteroidales; Prevotellaceae.
ACAAUGGAGAGUUUGAUCCUGGCUCAGGAUGAACGCUAGCUACAGGCUUAACACAUGCAAGUCGAGGGGAAACGGCAUUGAGUGCUUGCACUCUUUGGACGUCGACCGGCGCACGGGUGAGUAACGCGUAUCCAACCUUCCCAUUACUGUGGGAUAACCUGCCGAAAGGCAGACUAAUACCGCAUAGUCUUCGAUGACGGCAUCAGAUUUGAAGUAAAGAUUUAUCGGUAAUGGAUGGGGAUGCGUCUGAUUAGCUUGUUGGCGGGGUAACGGCCCACCAAGGCAACGAUCAGUAGGGGUUCUGAGAGGAAGGUCCCCCACAUUGGAACUGAGACACGGUCCAAACUCCUACGGGAGGCAGCAGUGAGGAAUAUUGGUCAAUGGACGGAAGUCUGAACCAGCCAAGUAGCGUGCAGGAUGACGGCCCUAUGGGUUGUAAACUGCUUUUGUAUGGGGAUAAAGUUAGGGACGUGUCCCUAUUUGCAGGUACCAUACGAAUAAGGACCGGCUAAUUCCGUGCCAGCAGCCGCGGUAAUACGGAAGGUCCAGGCGUUAUCCGGAUUUAUUGGUUUAAAAGGCUGUCUCUUAUACACAUCUGACGCUGCC